This is a non-coding RNA of Danio rerio (zebrafish), 626 nucleotides long. The record is from RefSeq and is a predicted model, not a curated record. NCBI's taxonomy places the organism in Eukaryota, Metazoa, Chordata, Actinopteri, Cypriniformes, Danionidae.
GCAAACUCCACACAGAAAUGCCAGCUGAUCCAGCCGAGGCUCGAGUCAGCAUCCUUGCUUGUUGGAUGCCUGAUUGCAGUUCAACUCCAAACUCAGUUGGACCAGCUGAUCAGUGUCUUCAGUAUUACCACAAGCUUCUGGGCAGAUGUGUGGACAGCUAUGAGCCAAACUUGGGACGUUUGGCUUUUAGCAGGUGGAGAGCAGCAGAAACAAGACAACUAAUCAUAGUUAGGUUGAGAUUAGUAUUAUUAACUUGACUAGUUUGGCUGCAGACUUGUUCAAUAAUUAACAAUUUGUAUAAGUUACAAGAUCAAUGGUCCUGCUAUCAAUGUUUUUGUAACUUAAAUUCAUUACAGUUUAGAUACAAUCAAAUGUCCAAACCAUCUCUGAGUGAAUGACAUCAAGGAAACAGGAUCAAAAGAUCAUUCAUUAUAGACCGUUUCAUAGUUGGUUAUAUUUUUCAGGUCCUCCUGAUCAUUCCGUUCUCCUGGUUGUGAGGAUGUGCAGAGGCUGUAUUUGUCAGUGUUAAAAGACUUGUGCAGCUGUAUCCAGACAUACAAGCAGCCGACAAAGAGUUCUGGAGCAGGACAGACAGGUAGUUCACAGUGGCUAGGCUAGAAGUUUAU